UUCCAGACUCCUACGGGAGGCAGCAGUAGGGAAUCUUCGGCAAUGGGGGGAACCCUGACCGAGCAACGCCGCGUGAGUGAAGAAGGUUUUCGGAUCGUAAAGCUCUGUUGUUAAGGAAGAACGAGUGUGAGAAUGGAAAGUUCAUACUGUGACGGUACUUAACCAGAAAGGGACGGCUAACUACGUGCCAGCAGCCGCGGUAAUACGUAGGUCCCGAGCGUUGUCCGGAUUUAUUGGGCGUAAAGCGAGCGCAGGCGGUUAGAUAAGUCUGAAGUUAAAGGCAGUGGCUCAACCAUUGUAGGCUUUGGAAACUGUUUAACUUGAGUGCAGAAGGGGAGAGUGGAAUUCCAUGUGUAGCGGUGAAAUGCGUAGAUAUAUGGAGGAACACCGGUGGCGAAAGCGGCUCUCUGGUCUGUAACUGACGCUGAGGCUCGAAAGCGUGGGGAGCGAACAGGAUUAGAUACCCUGGUAGUCCACGCCGUAAACGAUGAGUGCUAGGUGUUAGGUCCUUUCCGGGACUUAGUGCCGCAGCUAACGCAUUAAGCACUCCGCCUGGGGAGUACGACCGCAAGGUUGAAACUCAAAGGAAUUGACGGGGGCCCGCACAAG
Molecule: ribosomal RNA, 609 nt
Filed under: uncultured bacterium
Lineage: Bacteria
Description: bacterial SSU rRNA
Rfam family: Bacterial small subunit ribosomal RNA
Source: RNAcentral